ACAGGGGAGAAUAACGCAUGUGACCUGUGCGUGGUAGGGGGGGAUCUCUUGUGAACACUAUCUCUUACACCGCAUGAUUUUCUAUUGCAUGUGAUACUUGAUUGAAGGGCGCUUGUGUCUCUCCCCCAUAGGCCUGUGUUGUGUUUUAUCUAUGGGGGGGGGACGCGUCUCCCCGGGGACAAUAUAUAUACCACAUCUGAGGGGGAGCUCGCCCACUGUGACUGAGACACGCGCCCCACACUCCUACGAGGGGCCACGGUGGAAUCUCCUCCAAUGUGCGGAGAACCGAGACAGAGCGCCCCGCGAGUGAGAAGAGUUUUUUCAUCUCAAAGCUCUCUGGUGUAAGAAAAAAAAGUGUGAGAGAGUGAAAAGUUCACUGUGAGACUAUCUCUUACCAGAGGGACGGCUAUAUACUACGUGCCAGCCGCGCGGUACACAUGUGUCGAGAGUGUUCUGCAUAUAUUGUGCGUAUAGAGAGAGCGCGCGCUGAUAUAUACUGAGAUGAUAGACUCUGUGUCAUCCAUAUACGCGCUGUAACUGUGUAUCUCGUGUGUACAGAGGAGAGAGUAUACUAUGUGUGUAGCUGAGAGUGUAUAGAUAUGUAGAGCACAGCUGUCGCGAGCGCCUCUCUGUGUGUGCAGUGACU
Molecule: ribosomal RNA, 646 nt
Filed under: uncultured bacterium
Lineage: Bacteria
Description: partial 16S ribosomal RNA
Rfam family: Bacterial small subunit ribosomal RNA
Source: RNAcentral